Molecule: ribosomal RNA, 433 nt
Filed under: uncultured bacterium
Lineage: Bacteria
Description: partial 16S ribosomal RNA
Rfam family: Bacterial small subunit ribosomal RNA
Source: RNAcentral
AACGAACGCUGGCGGCAGGCCUAACACAUGCAAGUCGAGCGAGGACUUCGGUUCUAGCGGCGGACGGGUGAGUAACGCGUGGGAAUGUGCCCUUCUCUACGGAAUAGCCCUGGGAAACUGGGAGUAAUACCGUAUACGCACUAUUGGGGAAAGAUUUAUCGGAGAAGGAUCAGCCCGCGUUGGAUUAGGUAGUUGGUGGGGUAAUGGCCUACCAAGCCGACGAUCCAUAGCUGGUUUGAGAGGAUGAUCAGCCACACUGGGACUGAGACACGGCCCAGACUCCUACGGGAGGCAGCAGUGGGGAAUCUUAGACAAUGGGGGCAACCCUGAUCUAGCCAUGCCGCGUGAGUGAUGAAGGCCUUAGGGUUGUAAAGCUCUUUCAGCUGGGAAGAUAAUGACGGUACCAGCAGAAGAAGCCCCGGCUAACUCCGUG